UGCGUUCCAUUAGAUAGUAGGCGGGGUAACGGCCCACCUAGUCUUCGAUGGAUAGGGGUUCUGAGAGGAAGGUCCCCCACAUUGGAACUGAGACACGGUCCAAACUCCUACGGGAGGCAGCAGUGAGGAAUAUUGGUCAAUGGGCGAGAGCCUGAACCAGCCAAGUAGCGUGAAGGAUGACUGCCCUAUGGGUUGUAAACUUCUUUUAUAAAGGAAUAAAGUCGGGUAUGGAUACCCGUUUGCAUGUACUUUAUGAAUAAGGAUCGGCUAACUCCGUGCCAGCAGCCGCGGUAAUACGGAGGAUCCGAGCGUUAUCCGGAUUUAUUGGGUUUAAAGGGAGCGUAGAUGGAUGUUUAAGUCAGUUGUGAAAGUUUGCGGCUCAACCGUAAAAUUGCAGUUGAUACUGGAUAUCUUGAGUGCAGUUGAGGCAGGCGGAAUUCGUGGUGUAGCGGUGAAAUGCUUAGAUAUCACGAAGAACUCCGAUUGCGAAGGCAGCCUGCUAAGCUGCAACUGACAUUGAGGCUCGAAAGUGUGGGUAUCAAACAGGAUUAGAUACCCUGGUAGUCCACACGGUAAACGAUGAAUACUCGCUGUUUGCGAUAUACUGCAA
This 610-nucleotide ribosomal RNA is filed under the name uncultured bacterium. Its description in RNAcentral is "bacterial SSU rRNA". It matches the Rfam family "Bacterial small subunit ribosomal RNA", at positions 232 to 842 of the family's 1533-position model. The record is from RNAcentral.